Molecule: non-coding RNA, 72 nt
Organism: Capitella teleta
Lineage: Eukaryota; Metazoa; Annelida; Polychaeta; Capitellidae
Source: Rfam
UGAGAUUAGUGGAGAGAGUUUUAUCUCAUCGAGCUUGAUUUGGGUGAGAUUCAACUCCUCCAACUGCUCUCA